This 492-nucleotide ribosomal RNA is filed under the name uncultured bacterium. Its description in RNAcentral is "partial 16S ribosomal RNA". It matches the Rfam family "Bacterial small subunit ribosomal RNA", at positions 29 to 507 of the family's 1533-position model. The record is from RNAcentral.
AGUGAACGCUGGCGGUAGGCCUAACACAUGCAAGUCGAACGGCAGCACAGUAAGAGCUUGCUCUUACGGGUGGCGAGUGGCGGACGGGUGAGGAAUACAUCGGAAUCUACUUUUUCGUGGGGGAUAACGUAGGGAAACUUACGCUAAUACCGCAUACAACCUACGGGUGAAAGCAGGGGAUCUUCGGACCUUGCGCGAUUGAUUGAGCCGAUGUCGGAUUAGCUAGUUGGCGGGGUAAAGGCCCACCAAGGCGACGAUCCGUAGCUGGUCUGAGAGGAUGAUCAGCCACACUGGAACUGAGACACGGUCCAGACUCCUACGGGAGGCAGCAGUGGGGAAUAUUGGACAAUGGGCGCAAGCCUGAUCCAGCCAUACCGCGUGGGUGAAGAAGGCCUUCGGGUUGUAAAGCCCUUUUGUUGGGAAAGAAAAGCAGCAGGUUAAUACCCCGCUGUUCUGACGGUACCCAAAGAAUAAGCACCGGCUAACUUCGUG